This 2904-nucleotide ribosomal RNA is filed under the name Escherichia coli. RNAcentral's name for it is "23S ribosomal RNA". It matches the Rfam family "Bacterial large subunit ribosomal RNA". The record is from RNAcentral. Lineage: Bacteria; Pseudomonadati; Pseudomonadota; Gammaproteobacteria; Enterobacterales; Enterobacteriaceae. RNAcentral also lists the same sequence under 1 other name.
GGUUAAGCGACUAAGCGUACACGGUGGAUGCCCUGGCAGUCAGAGGCGAUGAAGGACGUGCUAAUCUGCGAUAAGCGUCGGUGAGGUGAUAUGAACCGUUAUAACCGGCGAUUUCCGAAUGGGGAAACCCAGUGUGUUUCGACACACUAUCAUUAACUGAAUCCAUAGGUUAAUGAGGCGAACCGGGGGAACUGAAACAUCUAAGUACCCCGAGGAAAAGAAAUCAACCGAGAUUCCCCCAGUAGCGGCGAGCGAACGGGGAGGAGCCCAGAGCCUGAAUCAGUGUGUGUGUUAGUGGAAGCGUCUGGAAAGGCGCGCGAUACAGGGUGACAGCCCCGUACACAAAAAUGCACAUACUGUGAGCUCGAUGAGUAGGGCGGGACACGUGGUAUCCUGUCUGAAUAUGGGGGGACCAUCCUCCAAGGCUAAAUACUCCUGACUGACCGAUAGUGAACCAGUACCGUGAGGGAAAGGCGAAAAGAACCCCGGCGAGGGGAGUGAAAAAGAACCUGAAACCGUGUACGUACAAGCAGUGGGAGCCUCUUAAUGGGGUGACUGCGUACCUUUUGUAUAAUGGGUCAGCGACUUAUAUUCUGUAGCAAGGUUAACCGAAUAGGGGAGCCGAAGGGAAACCGAGUCUUAACUGGGCGCUAAGUUGCAGGGUAUAGACCCGAAACCCGGUGAUCUAGCCAUGGGCAGGUUGAAGGUUGGGUAACACUAACUGGAGGACCGAACCGACUAAUGUUGAAAAAUUAGCGGAUGACUUGUGGCUGGGGGUGAAAGGCCAAUCAAACCGGGAGAUAGCUGGUUCUCCCCGAAAGCUAUUUAGGUAGCGCCUCGUGAAUUCAUCUCCGGGGGUAGAGCACUGUUUCGGCAAGGGGGUCAUCCCGACUUACCAACCCGAUGCAAACUGCGAAUACCGGAGAAUGUUAUCACGGGAGACACACGGCGGGUGCUAACGUCCGUCGUGAAGAGGGAAACAACCCAGACCGCCAGCUAAGGUCCCAAAGUCAUGGUUAAGUGGGAAACGAUGUGGGAAGGCCCAGACAGCCAGGAUGUUGGCUUAGAAGCAGCCAUCAUUUAAAGAAAGCGUAAUAGCUCACUGGUCGAGUCGGCCUGCGCGGAAGAUGUAACGGGGCUAAACCAUGCACCGAAGCUGCGGCAGCGACACUAUGUGUUGUUGGGUAGGGGAGCGUUCUGUAAGCCUGUGAAGGUGGCCUGUGAGGGUUGCUGGAGGUAUCAGAAGUGCGAAUGCUGACAUAAGUAACGAUAAAGCGGGUGAAAAGCCCGCUCGCCGGAAGACCAAGGGUUCCUGUCCAACGUUAAUCGGGGCAGGGUGAGUCGACCCCUAAGGCGAGGCCGAAAGGCGUAGUCGAUGGGAAACAGGUUAAUAUUCCUGUACUUGGUGUUACUGCGAAGGGGGGACGGAGAAGGCUAUGUUGGCCGGGCGACGGUUGUCCCGGUUUAAGCGUGUAGGCUGGUUUUCCAGGCAAAUCCGGAAAACCAAGGCUGAGGCGUGAUGACGAGGCACUACGGUGCUGAAGCGACAAAUGCCCUGCUUCCAGGAAAAGCCUCUAAGCAUCAGGUAACAUCAAAUCGUACCCCAAACCGACACAGGUGGUCAGGUAGAGAAUACCAAGGCGCUUGAGAGAACUCGGGUGAAGGAACUAGGCAAAAUGGUGCCGUAACUUCGGGAGAAGGCACGCUGAUAUGUAGGUGAAGCGACUUGCUCGUGGAGCUGAAAUCAGUCGAAGAUACCAGCUGGCUGCAACUGUUUAUUAAAAACACAGCACUGUGCAAACACGAAAGUGGACGUAUACGGUGUGACGCCUGCCCGGUGCCGGAAGGUUAAUUGAUGGGGUUAGCGGUAACGCGAAGCUCUUGAUCGAAGCCCCGGUAAACGGCGGCCGUAACUAUAACGGUCCUAAGGUAGCGAAAUUCCUUGUCGGGUAAGUUCCGACCUGCACGAAUGGCGUAAUGAUGGCCAGGCUGUCUCCACCCGAGACUCAGUGAAAUUGAACUCGCUGUGAAGAUGCAGUGUACCCGCGGCAAGACGGAAAGACCCCGUGAACCUUUACUAUAGCUUGACACUGAACAUUGAGCCUUGAUGUGUAGGAUAGGUGGGAGGCUUUGAAGUGUGGACGCCAGUCUGCAUGGAGCCGACCUUGAAAUACCACCCUUUAAUGUUUGAUGUUCUAACGUUGGCCCCUAAUCGGGGUUGCGGACAGUGUCUGGUGGGUAGUUUGACUGGGGCGGUCUCCUCCUAAAGAGUAACGGAGGAGCACGAAGGUUGGCUAAUCCUGGUCGGACAUCAGGAGGUUAGUGCAAUGGCAUAAGCCAGCUUGACUGCGAGCGUGACGGCGCGAGCAGGUGCGAAAGCAGGUCAUAGUGAUCCGGUGGUUCUGAAUGGAAGGGCCAUCGCUCAACGGAUAAAAGGUACUCCGGGGAUAACAGGCUGAUACCGCCCAAGAGUUCAUAUCGACGGCGGUGUUUGGCACCUCGAUGUCGGCUCAUCACAUCCUGGGGCUGAAGUAGGUCCCAAGGGUAUGGCUGUUCGCCAUUUAAAGUGGUACGCGAGCUGGGUUUAGAACGUCGUGAGACAGUUCGGUCCCUAUCUGCCGUGGGCGCUGGAGAACUGAGGGGGGCUGCUCCUAGUACGAGAGGACCGGAGUGGACGCAUCACUGGUGUUCGGGUUGUCAUGCCAAUGGCACUGCCCGGUAGCUAAAUGCGGAAGAGAUAAGUGCUGAAAGCAUCUAAGCACGAAACUUGCCCCGAGAUGAGUUCUCCCUGAGACUUAGAGUCUCCUGAAGGAACGUUGAAGACGACGACGUUGAUAGGCCGGGUGUGUAAGCGCAGCGAUGCGUUGAGCUAACCGGUACUAAUGAACCGUGAGGCUUAACCUU